Molecule: ribosomal RNA, 2921 nt
Filed under: Streptococcus pneumoniae
Lineage: Bacteria; Bacillati; Bacillota; Bacilli; Lactobacillales; Streptococcaceae
Description: bacterial LSU rRNA
Rfam family: Bacterial large subunit ribosomal RNA
Source: RNAcentral
UUAAGUUAGAAAGGGCGCACGGUGGAUGCCUUGACACUAGGAGUCGAUGAAGGACGGGACUAACGCCGAUAUGCUUCGGGGAGCUGUAAGUAAGCUUUGAUCCGAAGAUUUCCGAAUGGGGAAACCCACCAUACGUAAUGGUAUGGUAUCCUUAUCUGAAUACAUAGGGUAAGGAAGACAGACCCAGGGAACUGAAACAUCUAAGUACCUGGAGGAAGAGAAAGCAAAUGCGAUUUCCUGAGUAGCGGCGAGCGAAACGGAACAUAGCCCAAACCAAGAGGCUUGCCUCUUGGGGUUGUAGGACAUUCUAUACGGAGUUACAAAGGAACGAGGUAGACGAAGCGACCUGGAAAGGUCCGUCGUAGAGGGUAACAACCCCGUAGUCGAAACUUCGUUCUCUCUUGAAUGUAUCCUGAGUACGGCGGAACACGUGAAAUUCCGUCGGAAUCUGGGAGGACCAUCUCCCAAGGCUAAAUACUCCCUAGUGAUCGAUAGUGAACCAGUACCGUGAGGGAAAGGUGAAAAGCACCCCGGAAGGGGAGUGAAAGAGAUCCUGAAACCGUGUGCCUACAAAUAGUCAGAGCCCGUUAACGGGUGAUGGCGUGCCUUUUGUAGAAUGAACCGGCGAGUUACGAUCCCGUGCGAGGUUAAGCUGAAGAGGCGGAGCCGCAGCGAAAGCGAGUCUGAAUAGGGCGUUUAGUACGUGGUCGUAGACCCGAAACCAGGUGAUCUACCCAUGUCCAGGGUGAAGUUCAGGUAACACUGAAUGGAGGCCCGAACCCACGCACGUUGAAAAGUGCGGGGAUGAGGUGUGGGUAGCGGAGAAAUUCCAAUCGAACCUGGAGAUAGCUGGUUCUCCCCGAAAUAGCUUUAGGGCUAGCCUUAAGUGUAAGAGUCUUGGAGGUAGAGCACUGAUUGGACUAGGGGUCCUCAUCGGAUUACCGAAUUCAGUCAAACUCCGAAUGCCAAUGACUUAUCCUUAGGAGUCAGACUGCGAGUGAUAAGAUCCGUAGUCAAAAGGGAAACAGCCCAGACCGCCAGCUAAGGUCCCAAAGUGUGUAUUAAGUGGAAAAGGAUGUGGAGUUGCUUAGACAACUAGGAUGUUGGCUUAGAAGCAGCCACCAUUUAAAGAGUGCGUAAUAGCUCACUAGUCGAGUGACUCUGCGCCGAAAAUGUACCGGGGCUAAAUACACCACCGAAGCUGCGGAUUGAUACCGAAUGGUAUCAGUGGUAGGGGAGCGUUCUAAGGACAGUGAAGUCAGACCGUAAGGACUGGUGGAGUGCUUAGAAGUGAGAAUGCCGGUAUGAGUAGCGAAAGACGGGUGAGAAUCCCGUCCACCGAAUGCCUAAGGUUUCCUGAGGAAGGCUCGUCCGCUCAGGGUUAGUCAGGACCUAAGCCGAGGCCGACAGGCGUAGGCGAUGGACAACAGGUUGAUAUUCCUGUACCACCUCUUUAUCGUUUGAGCAAUGGAGGGACGCAGAAGGAUAGAAGAAGCGUGCGAUUGGUUGUGCACGUCCAAGCAGUUAGGCUGAUAAGUAGGCAAAUCCGCUUAUCAUAAAGGCUGAGCUGUGAUGGGGAAGCUCCUUAUGGAGCGAAGUCUUUGAUUCCCCGCUGCCAAGAAAAGCUUCUAGCGAGAUAAAAGGUGCCUGUACCGCAAACCGACACAGGUAGGCGAGGAGAGAAUCCUAAGGUGUGCGAGAGAACUCUGGUUAAGGAACUCGGCAAAAUGACCCCGUAACUUCGGGAGAAGGGGUGCUUUCUUAACGGAAAGCCGCAGUGAAUAGGCCCAAGCGACUGUUUAGCAAAAACACAGCUCUCUGCGAAGCCGUAAGGCGAAGUAUAGGGGGUGACACCUGCCCGGUGCUGGAAGGUUAAGAGGAGUGCUUAGCGUAAGCGAAGGUAUGAAUUGAAGCCCCAGUAAACGGCGGCCGUAACUAUAACGGUCCUAAGGUAGCGAAAUUCCUUGUCGGGUAAGUUCCGACCCGCACGAAAGGUGUAACGAUUUGGGCACUGUCUCAACCAGAGACUCGGUGAAAUUAUAGUACCUGUGAAGAUGCAGGUUACCCGCGACAGGACGGAAAGACCCCGUGGAGCUUUACUGUAGCCUGAUAUUGAAUUUUGGUACAGUUUGUACAGGAUAGGCGGGAGCCAUUGAAACCGGAGCGCUAGCUUCGGUGGAGGCGCUGGUGGGAUACCGCCCUGACUGUAUUGAAAUUCUAACCUACGGGUCUUAUCGACCCGGGAGACAGUGUCAGGUGGGCAGUUUGACUGGGGCGGUCGCCUCCUAAAGUGUAACGGAGGCGCCCAAAGGUUCCCUCAGAAUGGUUGGAAAUCAUUCGUAGAGUGCAAAGGCAUAAGGGAGCUUGACUGCGAGACCUACAAGUCGAGCAGGGACGAAAGUCGGGCUUAGUGAUCCGGUGGUUCCGCAUGGAAGGGCCAUCGCUCAACGGAUAAAAGCUACCCCGGGGAUAACAGGCUUAUCUCCCCCAAGAGUCCACAUCGACGGGGAGGUUUGGCACCUCGAUGUCGGCUCAUCGCAUCCUGGGGCUGUAGUCGGUCCCAAGGGUUGGGCUGUUCGCCCAUUAAAGCGGUACGCGAGCUGGGUUCAGAACGUCGUGAGACAGUUCGGUCCCUAUCCGUCGUGGGCGUAGGAAAUUUGAGAGGAGCUGUCCUUAGUACGAGAGGACCGGGAUGGACGCACCGCUGGUGUACCAGUUGUUCUGCCAAGGGCAUAGCUGGGUAGCUAUGUGCGGAAGGGAUAAGUGCUGAAAGCAUCUAAGCAUGAAGCCCCCCUCAAGAUGAGAUUUCCCAUAGCGUAAGCUAGUAAGAUCCCUGAAAGAUGAUCAGGUUGAUAGGUUCGAGGUGGAAGCAUGGUGACAUGUGGAGCUGACGAAUACUAAUAGAUCGAGGACUUAACCAU